Molecule: ribosomal RNA, 375 nt
Filed under: uncultured organism
Description: partial 16S ribosomal RNA
Rfam family: Bacterial small subunit ribosomal RNA
Source: RNAcentral
GUAGGUGGCAAGCGUUGUCCGGAAUUAUUGGGCGUAAAGCGCGCACAGGCGGUUCUUUAAGUCUGAUGUGAAAGCCCACGGCUCAACCGUGGAGGGUCAUUGGAAACUGGAGAACUUGAGUACAGAAGAGGAAAGCGGAAUUCCACGUGUAGCGGUGAAAUGCGUAGAGAUGUGGAGGAACACCAGUGGCGAAGGCGGCUUUCUGGUCUGUAACUGACGCUGAGGCGCGAAAGCGUGGGGGAGCAAACAGGAUUAGAUACCCUGGUAGUCCACGCCGUAAACGAUGAGUGCUAAGUGUUAGGGGGAUUCCGCCCCCCCCUUAGUGCUGCAGCUAACGCAUUAAGCACUCCGCCUGGGAGUACGGCCGCAAGGCUG